RNA transcript from Nycticebus coucang (slow loris), 1782 nucleotides. It is a transcript of the gene named ras GTPase-activating protein-binding protein 2-like, with no coding region annotated. NCBI's taxonomy places the organism in Eukaryota, Metazoa, Chordata, Mammalia, Primates, Lorisidae. The record is from RefSeq and is a predicted model, not a curated record. The transcript has a single exon.
CACGUUUCGGCUUGCACGGUUGUUGCCAAGAGGGACUUACUGCAAGCUAUUGCCUGAUCUGGGUUCUUAUUUUGUUAAGUCGAAAGUGAGAUUUUACUUCGUCCGACGUGACAGCAUUUGACAUUGUGCAGCCAAGAAAUGGUUAUGGAGAAGCCCAGUCUGCUGCUUGUAGGGCAGGAGUUUGUGAGGCAAUAUUACACUUUGCUGAAUAAACCUCCAGUAUAUUUACACAGGUUCUAUGGCAGGAAUUCUUCCUAUGUUCAUGGUGGCGUAGAUGCUAGUGAAAACCCCAGGAAGCUGUUUGUAGCCAAAAUGAUACACACCACAGAAUAUUGUCUCUGAACUUCAGUGAAUAUCACACUAAAAUUCGUCACGUGGACGCUCACGCAACCUUGAGCAAUUGAGUGGUUGUCCAGGUCAUGGGUUUGCUGUCUAACAGUGGACAGCCAGAGAGGAAAUUCAUGCAAACCUUUGUUCUGGCUCCUGAAGGAUCUGUUCCAAAUAAAUUUUAUGUUCACAAUGAUAUGUUUCAUUAUGAAGAUGAAGUAUUUGGUGAUUCUGAACCAGAACUUGAUGAAGAAUCAGAAGAUGAAGUAGAAGAGGAACAAGAAGAAAGGCAGCCAUCUCCGGAGCCUGCGCAAGAAAAUGCCAACAGUGGUUACUACCACGCUCACCCUGUCAGUAAUGGCAUAGAGGAGCCUUUGGUAGAAUCCUCUCAUGAACCUGAACCUGAGCCAGAAUCGGAAACAAAAACUGAAGAGCUGAAACCCCAGGUUGAGGAGAAGAACUUAGAGGAAUUAGAGGAGAAAUCUCCCACUCCUCCUCCAGCAGAGCCUGUUUCUCUACCACAGGAACCAGCAAAGCCAAGAAUUGAAGCAAACCCAGAAGUUCAGUCUCAGCCACCUCGUGUGUGUGAACAACGGCCUAGAGAACGACCUGGUUUCCCUCCUAGAGGACUGAGACCAGGUAGAGGAGAUAUGGAACAGAAGGACUCUGACAACCGUAGGAUUAUUCGCCAUCCAGACAGUCUUUGUUGGUAACUUGCCACAUGAUAUUGAUGAAAAUGAACUGAAAGAAUUCUUCAUGAGUUUUGGAAACGUUGUGGAACUUUGCAUCAAUACCAAGGGUGUUGGGGAAAGCUUCCAAAUUUUGGUUUUGUGGUUUUUGAUGACUUUGAACCAGUUCAGAGACUCUUAAUUACAAAACCAAUUAUGUUUCGAGGGGAAGUACGUUUAAAUGUGGAAGAGAAAAAAACAAGAGCUGCAAGAGAGCGAGAAACCAGAGGUGACGGUGAUGAUCACAGGGAUAUUAGGCGCAAUGAUCGAGGUCCUGGUGGUCCACGUGGAAUAGUGGGUAGUGGAAUGAUGCGUGAUCGUGGUGGAAGAGGACCUCCUCCAAGGGGUGGCAUGGCACAGAAACUUGGCUCUGGAAGAGGAACUGGGCGAAUGGAAGGCCGCUUCACAGGACAGCAUCACUGAAGCUCCACUGUUGGCAGAGUCUUGGCAAUGGUACAUUAUUUAUCGUGUUUGCAUUCUUGUUCAUUUUUUUUGGCUUUGGAAUGAGACACAGCCUUUUUAAUCAUUUCUUUGAUGUGAAAAGCAUCUUUUGGUUAUCAGUUAAAUUGAGGUGGACAUUAUUUCCCCAAUUUCACAACAGGAUUCACAUUGUUAAUUUAUAAAUCUAGACUUGGAGAAUUAAGGACUAAGAAAUGACCAUAUCUUAAACUAUCUACAAAAAUGAACUUAAAAGGACAUGCCCACUGAAUUCAGGUCCUUUGAGUCA